AGCGAACGUUAGCGGCGCGCCUAACACAUGCAAGUCGCACGAGAAAGGGAGCAAUCCCCGGUACAGUGGCGCACGGGUGAGUAACACGUAGAUGACCUUCCCUGGAGUGGUGGAUAACCUGCCGAAAGGCGGGCUAAUACAGCAUGGGACCACAUGGUUUUGACCGAGUGGUGAAAGCGGGCCUCUGUUCACAAGCUCGCGCUCUGGGAUGGGUCUGCGUCCCAUCAGCUAGUUGGUGAGGUAAUGGCUCACCAAGGCAUCGACGGGUAGCUGGCCUGAGAGGAUGACCAGCCACACUGGAACUGAGACACGGUCCAGACUCCUACGGGAGGCAGCAGUGGGGAAUCUUGCGCAAUGGGCGAAAGCCUGACGCAGCGACGCCGCGUGGGUGAUGAAGGCC
RNAcentral lists this ribosomal RNA (400 nucleotides) under uncultured bacterium. RNAcentral describes it as "bacterial SSU rRNA". It matches the Rfam family "Bacterial small subunit ribosomal RNA", at positions 29 to 416 of the family's 1533-position model. The record is from RNAcentral.